UAAGAAUCAAAGAAAUUAAAACUUCAUUGAUGUUGAUAAUCCACUUCAAUUAAAAAAGUACAUAAUACUUUUUUAUCCUAAUCCAUAAAAGGCUAUAAGUUAUGGUCCAACUUUCAAUCUAAUAUCUAUUCACUAAAAUGAAUAUAUGGACCUAAUCUAUUUCUAGAAAUGAUAUACCGAAACCUAUUAACGAUGUCAACAUUGAUGUCAUUCUGUUGGGUUUCCAGCCCAUGUGUUUUUCGUAAGAUGUUUCGUCUUAGAAUAUGGUGUUCCAAUAAGAAAAGUAAAUCCUUAUUGAUGAUGGUGUACCUGUAAUCUUGUUGAUUACAGAGAAGGAAGGAGGCAUUAUUGUCUACCACUAAUAGGAUUUGAUUUCCUAUUUGGUGAAGAGAUCUGAUAUCCUUAUGGCCAUAUAAGGAGGGGGUCAGCUCUAGGUUUUGUAUCGCAGAGACGAAGACCAAAGUGUGUUCCAUUCUCGGUUAGAGGGUGAGAGAGGGCAGAGAGGAGAGAGAUAGGAAGAGAAGUGAGAGAGUCCUUGUUUUCUUAUUCUUUCUGGUGUACCCAUUAUUAAUAUAGUGGAAGUGUUUUCUGCCGGUGGAUGUAGGCAAAGGUUUUGCUGAACCACCUUAAAUCUGUGUUCUUUGUGUCUUAUCUUUGUGGUUGUUUCUCUUGGUUUGCUGUGUUCUUUUGGGGUUCCUUGACAUACAUAAUUGGCCGAUAUCACAACACAUUCCUCUCAACGGGGCUUCAAGUCGCUAAAUGACCUCGGAAUCUUCUGCAAACACUUAUACCUACAUAUUGACCAAAUCAACAACAAAAAGAAUGAGAGAUUAGUUCAUUUGGUGCAUGCUCCACACACUCAUUAGAAGAAACCAACUUCACAGUUCAAUACUUCAAUACUAAAUACAUGAUUCCAAAUUCUAGACCAAACACCAUCUUCUCAGCCUUAUAUCUCAAUCACCAUAACUAGACUCUUUUAAAACCAAUAUCAACCGUUCUUUCCAGCCAAGACAAUUAUACAUAAGAGACCCUUAAUAACAAUUAAACCAAAUUCUCAAUUCACUACCAAAUCGGUAAUUUCCAUUAGAUUUCAAUACCAUGACCAGCCCUUCAUCCCAUUCACUAUAACCUCCCUAUAUACUUCAACAUGAACACAGCAGUACACAAAGUGUCAAUCUUUGCAGAAUUAGCCACACACAACACAACCCAAAUACUUUCAGCAUCUUUCUAUUUAUCAAACGCCAACAUCCCAUUUCAUUUUAAUUAUAACAACUAAACAGAAACUUAACUUCCAACUGGUCCAUAAUCAACAUAAACACAGUAAUACACAACUAGGCACCAGACUUUCAUAGAACUAGCCAUAACGAAAUGCACAACUCAAAAAUCUUCAAUAUUAUCAAAUUUACACCAAUCAGCAACCAACAAUAAACUCUAAUUUACUUUUCGAAUUUACCUUCGAUGCGUCAAAACAGAACUUGCUCCUUCACUGCCCAAAACUUCUUGUUGAAGAAUCAAUGACCCAAAACUCAGCAACCCUUAAAGUCCUUGUUCACUAACGCAGCAAAGGCCAAAACCAAACCCAAAAAUAGAGGAGGUUGCCGGCGGGGACAAAUUCCGUCAAGGGCAGAGAAAUAGCCCAGAAAUCCCAAAAACUAAAGUCAAUAAACUUCAAUCUAAACUGAAAAAUAAUUACCCUAGAAUGAUGAGGACGACGAGAGAAAGGAAACCAUACCAAGAGAAGUCGGGUUCGCAGCCUGAAAACCCAGAAAUCCGGCAGAAAACUCGAACCUUCUUGUCGUCGUUCCUCCUUCUACGGUCAGCGAUCGGAGAAACGAAGGCUAGAGGCGCAUCGGGGACCUCAAGGUGGUCCGGUCGGUGGUGGCCAAUCGCCGGGUAGCCACGGAUGGCGAGGCGGCGUCAGUGCUCGACAUCGGCGUCGAGUUGGUGUCGAAGAGAGAGAUUGAGGUGGUCUAACUAGUUGACCGAGUUAGUCUCCUUACAUACGNNNNNNNNNNNNNNNNNNNNGUUUCAAGACUUGUCUAGAAAUUUCUCUCUAUUUCAAGCUCGACUUUAAUUUACACUUGUUUCUUCGUAACACUAAAAACUUGAUUUAAACGUUCGUACUCCACAACAUUCAUGAAAAGAUAAUACUAAAAAGGCAACAUGACAAAAAGUCAACAUUUUUGGUCUUCUGAGGUGUCAACUCAAAAUGAAAAGUAAAUUAAGUUGUCAUUUACUAUCCAAAUGGCCAGUAACUAAUAAAUUUGGGUUCGGGGGCGUUACAACUUAAAUAUGUAUGUGGAAGAAAAUUUACCCAUUUUCAAUAACUUAUAGGUCUCGAUCAUUAGAGUCAACUUCAAUUGUACAUAAAACGUUCCUAUUCUUCCUCAUGGGGAGCGAUAUGAUCGGUCGAUAAACGUGUCCAAAUGUUCACAUAAAAUAGUUUCGUUGACACUAAAUGAGGGUAUAAGCUAGAAUUGACGAAUCUCAACUUUAAGUAUUAGCCGGUCUAGAUAAGAGGGUUUUCGUUUAGAUAAAAGUGUUG
RNAcentral lists this long non-coding RNA (2545 nucleotides) under Fragaria vesca (wild strawberry). RNAcentral's name for it is "long non-coding RNA (FVES_LNC003002)". The record is from RNAcentral. Lineage: Eukaryota; Viridiplantae; Streptophyta; Magnoliopsida; Rosales; Rosaceae.